Molecule: transfer RNA, 87 nt
Filed under: Syntrophales bacterium
Lineage: Bacteria; Pseudomonadati; Thermodesulfobacteriota; Syntrophia; Syntrophales
Description: tRNA-Leu
Rfam family: tRNA
About the family: Transfer RNA (tRNA) molecules are approximately 80 nucleotides in length. Their secondary structure includes four short double-helical elements and three loops (D, anti-codon, and T loops).
Source: RNAcentral
GCCCAGGUGGUGGAAUUGGUAUACACGACAGACUUAAAAUCUGUUGGGGGCAACCUCUUGUGGGUUCGAGUCCCACCCUGGGUACCA